Bemisia tabaci is the source of this 577-nucleotide non-coding RNA. The record is from RefSeq and is a predicted model, not a curated record. NCBI's taxonomy places the organism in Eukaryota, Metazoa, Arthropoda, Insecta, Hemiptera, Aleyrodidae.
UCGGGUGUGAGCGGGAGUGUAGAGGAUAUACAAACAGGAAAAAUUCAUAGUUAGAUUCUUGUGUCGCCAUAAUUGAGCAUUGUGAAAUGUCUCUCGACAUAUUAUCGGAAAUUAUAUUUUUCUCCGGACCGCGUGUGAUACUCGUGUAUUUGAAGCGCAGUUUAGUUUCGUGUUCGGUACUCGUAAUAAUUUUUCUCAGUGAAUUUUCCCGCGUGAGUACAGCAGUUGCAGUGCGAAUAGUUAAACGAUCUUACUUUCCGCUAGAUUUCUAUCCGCCGAAAGUUUUAGUCUGCAAGCCUCUAUUUUUUCUGUUCAGUUCAGUAGUUUGCUUUGAUCAGUGGAGUCACUAUAUAUCUGUCACUUGUGUCGGUUGUUAUUGUGCGAAUUUUCGGCAGUCUUGUCUCCGUAAUAUUUCCAUGAAAUCUGGUUUGUGGAUAUCGUUUUGGAAGUGAUUUUGCUCAUCAUAUAUUCCUCAGCGUUGAUUCGCCAACAUUCGAGAAGGCGAUGAAGAGGAUGGAAAUCUUCACCCUACGCAUCAGAGCUGUUCCUGACCUUGCAGAUCAUCGCUUCUUCACGG